UGAGGAAUAUUGGGCAAUGCCCGCAAGGGUGACCCAGCAACGCCGCGUGGAGGAUGAAUGUCGUAAGAUUGUAAACUCCUGUUAGAGGGGAAGAAUAGUACCGGUUGGACCGGUAUAUGACUGUACCCUCAGAGAAAGCCCCGGCUAACUACGUGCCAGCAGCCGCGGUAAUACGUAGGGGGCAAGCGUUAUCCGGAUUCACUGGGUUUAAAGGGUGCGUAGGUGGGCAGGUAAGUCAGUGGUGAAAUCUCCGGGCUUAACCCGGAAACUGCCGCUGAUACUAUUUGUCUUGAAUAUUGUGGAGGUAAGCGGAAUAUGUCAUGUAGCGGUGAAAUGCUUAGAUAUGACAUAGAACACCAAUUGCGAAGGCAGCUUACUACACAAUCAUUGACGCUGAGGCACGAAAGCGUGGGGAUCAAACA
This 422-nucleotide ribosomal RNA is filed under the name uncultured bacterium. Its description in RNAcentral is "bacterial SSU rRNA". It matches the Rfam family "Bacterial small subunit ribosomal RNA", at positions 355 to 774 of the family's 1533-position model. The record is from RNAcentral.